Molecule: long non-coding RNA, 851 nt
Organism: Choloepus didactylus (southern two-toed sloth)
Lineage: Eukaryota; Metazoa; Chordata; Mammalia; Pilosa; Megalonychidae
Exons: 3
Source: RefSeq, a predicted model, not a curated record
UUCCUCUCAGCAAGAUGAAGCCAAACCCUGAACCAUUUGAAGAAUGAAUUAAAGCAGAACUAUGCCAGAGAGCAAUCCAACUCCUCUGUGUGCCAGAUAGCUGAUAAUUUGGGCAUUUUUGUGAAUUCACUGCAGUUGUAAGGGAUCAUCUGGGGGCUGGAAGUGCAUCUAUCCAGGUAUAAACACAAGCAUCAUGGCCUUAUCCAUGCCUGAGGAGAGAGAAAGAAGUGUAAAGUCAGUAUGAAGUCAACAGUCAGAAGCAUUGUGGUGACCAUGUGCUGCUCAGAUACCCUGCUGCAGGAAGCACAAUUGACAGCCCCAGGUCCUGCCAUCUGUAUCAACCACCACAUUCUCUGAGGCCCUGCUUCCUGCAACCUGCUCUUACCCAGUGGCUGAGCACAGAUACCAUUCCUGUGAGAAGUAAGGGUCCUCCCACAAGCAAUUUUGGCUCAACGACUUCCAUCAGCCUAGAUGAAAUUUUCUUGCAACAGUACUGGAAUCUGAAACUUGCCUUUUUCAACCCUCCCGCCUUCUCUCCUUCACAGAGGUCAGAUCUGCAUCAAGUUCUGAGGGCUCUUCCUACCUCCUCCUCUUCUCUCUGCUUUUAUCCUUCAGAGGUGUUUCCCCACCAAAUGGCUGUCACGUCUAGUCCUGUCUUGGCAUGUGCUUCUCACAAACAUUCUUGAUUGAUACACUGCAGAUAAGAAGUAAUACACAGAGCUGAUAAGAAGUGAUUCUUAGAUUUGAACCAACAUCUGACUGACUCAAAGGCUUGUGCUCUUUCCAACACUACACUGUUAAUAUUUCCCCAGAUCUUUAUUUUUGCCUUUUUCUGAAUAUUGUAUUCACGU